RNAcentral lists this long non-coding RNA (1527 nucleotides) under Trifolium pratense (red clover). RNAcentral's name for it is "long non-coding RNA (TPRA_LNC001371)". The record is from RNAcentral. Lineage: Eukaryota; Viridiplantae; Streptophyta; Magnoliopsida; Fabales; Fabaceae.
GGGUUCAAAUUGAAAUAAUAUAAAGAUUAUAAGUGUAAAUAUUAAAAGUUUAGGGGUGCAGCUGCACCUCCUCACAUACUAGAGUAGCACUGCGCAGUUGACAUAAAACAUUACUUUUACAAGCACUUUUCACUCAUAUAUGGCACUCCAUUAUACAUUCCAAUAAAUUUGACCCAAAAGAAAUGAAUUACAUGAUAUCUAUAGAUUAAAUACAACAAUUGGAAUAGCUUUCUGAAUUGUGAUAGACUUAACCGUUUGCUAGGACAAUUCCUUAAAAGACUGUGUUUUUAUGUAUAUAUGGCAAAUUGUUUUCAGGGGCUUGUAUGCUUAAAAUUGAGAGAAUUUCUUUUUGCGUUCCCUUUGUCAAAGUUCAUUCUUCCCUCCAACAGCAACAAAAACAGCGCAACAAGGAAAAAUUUCCUAGAAAUUGAUUUUUACCCUAUUUUUAGGAUUAGUCUCCGACAACGGCGCCAAAAACUUAAUACACCGCAAGUGCACCAGUAUAUCAUCGUAAUAAAAAGAGUAUCGAAUCCACAGUCACUAGUGAGUAAUAGAGUAUAAUUUGUUUUUCAAGGAAAUUUCUAUGCAAAAUAUAUGUAAGAUGAUUAUAAUGGUUGAGAUGGUGAUGAUGAUUAUAAUGGUUUUUAGGAUUAUGAUCAAAGCAAAUAAAUAGAUGAAUAAUGAUUUGUUUUUAUAUUUUUAAGGACCCUAAGAUCAUGGACUUCAUCAAUAAUGUGAAUUUCUUAAUUCUUCUCUAAACGACUAAACAUUCCUUUGCUAUGUGAGAACCUCCUUGAAGACAAGAUAUAAUUUGUGGAAAACCCCCUUCCAAGCUACUCUUUGUCACAUCGGUUGUUAAUCGCCCCAAGAUAUAUGUGAGGCUUGGCACGACUGUGACGGGCUUCAUACUCUUGAUCUUUGAUUAUUAUUUUUUCAUUCUUAAUGCAAAGUGUAACGGCUUCUUUUGCCUUAAUACAUGAAUUUAUGCUCCUUGUGCUCUCUUUUGGGUAUCCCUUCAUAAAGGAAGUGUCCCUUGAUGCUCAUGUGAUGUCAUGCGUUGAUUAAUCAUCAAAAUGGGCCUAGAAAAUGCUCACUUCCAUCUAUCCAUGCUUUUGGGCCUACAAAAUAUAAAUUAAGAGAAUUGUAGUAAGAUAUUUCAAAUAACUUAAGCAUUAAGCAGAGUUUAUUAGAUAAAAUAGCUACUAAAACUAUGCAUAUCUUAGAGAUAUCAACACCCCCUUUUGGGUGCCACCAAUUUCAGUUAAUCAUAUUGUUCUCAAUUUGGCCACAAAAAGUCCCUAGACGAUUACCAUAACAUUUCCAAUUAUGCACAUUAUAGAGAACACCAGUAAGAACGUUAUGAUUAAUUGACAACGUUGUAUGCGACUAUUUACAUACGAAAUGACAAAAACUAAACUAACUAUAAAAAAAAAAGAAGAAGAUGGAGAGUGGAGAGGUGAGUGAGGAAGAGGGUGUUUUAUAGAAUUUUUGCUGCCUUCCUAUUGGUCAAAGCCAUGUCAUGCCCAC